This 500-nucleotide ribosomal RNA is filed under the name uncultured bacterium. Its description in RNAcentral is "partial 16S ribosomal RNA". It matches the Rfam family "Bacterial small subunit ribosomal RNA", at positions 30 to 523 of the family's 1533-position model. The record is from RNAcentral.
AUUGAACGCUGGCGGCAUGCCUUACACAUGCAAGUCGAACGGCAGCGCGGGAGCAAUCCUGGCGGCGAGUGGCGAACGGGUGAGUAAUAUAUCGGAACGUGCCCAUUAGUGGGGGAUAGCCCGGCGCAAGCCGGAUUAAUACCGCAUACGACCUGAGGGUGAAAGCGGGGGAUCGCAAGACCUCGCGCUAUUGGAGCGGCCGAUAUCAGAUUAGCUAGUUGGUGGGGUAAAGGCCUACCAAGGCAACGAUCUGUAGUUGGUCUGAGAGGACGACCAGCCACACUGGGACUGAGACACGGCCCAGACUCCUACGGGAGGCAGCAGUGGGGAAUUUUGGACAAUGGGCGCAAGCCUGAUCCAGCAAUGCCGCGUGCAGGAAGAAGGCCUUCGGGUUGUAAACUGCUUUUGUCAGGGAAGAAAUCCUUUGGGCUAAUACCUCGGAGGGAUGACGGUACCUGAAGAAUAAGCACCGGCUAACUACGUGCCAGCAGCCGCAGUAA